UACAGAGGGUGCGAGCGUUGUUCGGAAUUAUUGGGCGUAAAGCGCGUGUAGGCGGGAUCGUAUGUCGGGUGUGAAAGCCCUCGGCUCAACCGAGGAAGUGCGCCCGAAACUGCGGUUCUUGAGUGUCGGAGAGGGUGACGGAAUUCCCGGUGUAGAGGUGAAAUUCGUAGAUAUCGGGAGGAACACCAGUAGCGAAGGCGGUCACCUGGACGAACACUGACGCUGAGACGCGAAAGCGUGGGUAGCAAACAGG
RNAcentral lists this ribosomal RNA (253 nucleotides) under uncultured bacterium. Its description in RNAcentral is "partial 16S ribosomal RNA". It matches the Rfam family "Bacterial small subunit ribosomal RNA", at positions 524 to 776 of the family's 1533-position model. The record is from RNAcentral.